Molecule: long non-coding RNA, 1699 nt
Organism: Dermochelys coriacea (leatherback sea turtle)
Lineage: Eukaryota; Metazoa; Chordata; Testudines; Dermochelyidae
Exons: 2
Source: RefSeq, a predicted model, not a curated record
CCUACUUAUUCGUGCAGAAUUUAAUUAGGAAAGUUGCCAAUAGCCUAAUAAAUAUUAAACUAUAUAUGGAGACACUUAAUAUUAACUUCCAUUUUAUAAAUCACAUAAAGAGUUAAAUGAGUAAUAGAUAUUAUAAAGCAUUAAAGCUCGGUGAAUUUUUUUUGGAUGAAGAGUUUAUUUGCUGAAAAAUGCAGUUUCAGGAGACCCACAACUAUUUGUGAAUUUCACAUGAAUUUGCCAAAUAGUUUUGUCUGGGCUUUUUUCUUGGGAUUUAUAUGCCAUUCACAAGAUAGAGGUAUGAGGGAGGAGGAAUUGGUGGUGGUCUCAUAACUUUUAGCCCAGUGGUUAGGGCACACACCUGGUAUAAGGGACCCAGCUUCAGUUACCCCCUCUGCCUGGUGUGGAGAAGGGAUUUGAAUUUGGGUCUCCCAUAUAGCAAGAGAGCACCUUAGCCGCAGGGCUAGGGGCUAUUCAGAUGUCGAUCUCUCCUGUUGCUAUUCCACUUUUUUUUAUAAAUAGAAACUGGAGCAGGGAUUUUAAACUUGUGAUUUCAAUGUCUAUGAAUUGACACUAUGAAUGACAGUAAUCAUUGGGCCAGGAAAAGAGAGUAAAAUUAACUCUGUAGCCUACUAGUUAAGGUGCUCAUCACCACUUCUGUCCGUUAAAUUUUUUGCAGUUUUUGGAUGUGGUUUGAUCCCAACAGAAUUUUUGGGGGGCGUAUUUCAGAACUGCUGGUAAACUGAAAAAUCAUUGUUCACACAGCUCUAAUAAGCAUGGGGGACAUAUGAGUAAUAUGUUAUGGAUGGUUAUAAGCAACCUGUUGGACUGUGUAAUUAUAACAAUUAACUAUGUAUUAAAACAUCUAUUAAUGUAUUCAUCCUUUAUAAACUAUAAAUAGAAUCCCUAUUUCUAAAUGUAAUACCUAGCUCUUUAUAUAGCCCUUUUCAUCAGUAGAUUUCAAAGCACUUUACAAAGGAGGUCUGUAUCAUUAUCCCUGUUUUACGUUUGGGGAAAGUGAGGCACUAAGGUGAUAUAACUUGCCCAAGAUCACCAAGCAUGCCAGUGGCAGAGCCAGGAAUAGAAUCCAGCUCUUCUGAGUUCAACCACACAAAGCCUCCAUCAAAGACAAUAGGGCUCAAUGGUCUGCCUGUAUGGAGUCAGCUGCAGGAUUGGGGCCUUUGUGUUUCUAUAAUGUACUGUUUCUCAAUGUUGGAGUUAGCUAAAAGGACACUGUUGGUCAGUUUUGGCCCCAAAUGUAGGCUUUUGAAAAAUCAAACUUUUACAAAUCUAGAGACUAAUAGAAUGUUUUCUUAAAAAUCCAAUGAAAAUCUUAAUUAAAACAAACAAAAAAAAAAGCUGUUCUGGUUUGCAAUCCAAAUAUGGUAGCUUUGUGCCUCACAGAGACAGAAGGUGAAAUUGCCUUUAAACUGUUCAGUCUGAUUUAACAACCCCUGAGAAGAGCAAUGAAAAACAAAGCAUAAAUAGUGUAUAAUAAACUUGGUUUUUAACAUUCAUGCUGUUUUCCAGAAAUCUAAAGUAUUGAGUAAUAUGGGGUCAGGAUGUUUAUUACAAAGGGGUUUUUCAUAUAUUGUCCCUUUUUAAAUAGCUAUAGAAAAAAAUUAUCAUAUGGACAGUGGGUUUGCCAUAGUUUGUUUCCCUAGCACUGACAUUGUACACAAUUAGCAAUAUAAUCAAUACU